AGUUCAGUGAUAGAAUGUGUGCUUAGCAAGCACAAGGCCCUGGAUUCAAACCCCAG
RNAcentral lists this transfer RNA (56 nucleotides) under Ictidomys tridecemlineatus (thirteen-lined ground squirrel). RNAcentral describes it as "Spermophilus tridecemlineatus (thirteen-lined ground squirrel) tRNA". It matches the Rfam family "tRNA", at positions 9 to 63 of the family's 71-position model. Rfam says of the family: Transfer RNA (tRNA) molecules are approximately 80 nucleotides in length. The record is from Rfam by way of RNAcentral. Lineage: Eukaryota; Metazoa; Chordata; Mammalia; Rodentia; Sciuridae.